This 70-nucleotide transfer RNA is filed under the name Citrobacter koseri. It matches the Rfam family "tRNA". From Rfam's summary of the family: Transfer RNA (tRNA) molecules are approximately 80 nucleotides in length. Their secondary structure includes four short double-helical elements and three loops (D, anti-codon, and T loops). RNAcentral also lists the same sequence under 34 other names. Lineage: Bacteria; Pseudomonadati; Pseudomonadota; Gammaproteobacteria; Enterobacterales; Enterobacteriaceae. The record is from RNAcentral.
CGACUUAGCUCAGUAGGUAGAGCAACUGACUUGUAAUCAGUAGGUCACCAGUUCGAUUCCGGUAGUCGGC